AUGAGAACAGAAAUCGUGCUCCGGCAGUGUGGCAGCAGCAGGAGGCCCCAUUAGCUAAAGCGGUACCUCAGGUUAAGAACAGUUUCAGGUUAAGAACGGACCUCCGGAACGAAUUAAGUACUUAACCCAAGGUACCACUGUAUUCUUUCUUUGUAGCUCUGACUCCUGCACGUAGUUUCUCUUCCAGAAAAUAAGGUAGUUCCCUCCCCAGAUGCCAAUUUCCAACAAGGGCGGCUUAAGCCGGUUUUCUUUUUAAACCAUUUCGUAAUGUGAACAUAAAGCCUAAAUUGGAUUUAUCAUCCCACUUGCUCUCCUGCGUUGACCAAAUCUGGCACCUGCGAUGCACUUAGCACAGGAGAAGGAUCAAAGGUGGGCUUCAAGGCUGUGCCUGGAUUCCCUUCCGACGAAUUUUGCGCCAUGCUUUCCGCCUUGCUGUGAUUCCUUGACCAGCAGGGAGAUUCCAGCUUCCAGUAACACAUCCCAAGGCAAGUGAGCCCUCUUGUUGCUUUCCUGGGCCUAGGGGACCCUUGACCAGUAGUUAGGUGACCUUUCUCACUUGGCUGUCCACAAACAGGAGUGUCGUGAAAAGAAAAAGAGAAGGAGGUGUCCCAUCAAGGAAGACACGCCGGGAGUGUUGCUGCCGCCAGGGCUCCCGCUCUUUGGUGUGCCAGAAGCGUGCGAGAGAUUUGCCGCUGCAAAUUCAACUGGUGGGGAAUCAGAUCUACGAGGGAGGAAUUAAGAGCAUCAAACGAGAUGGUCCUGAACAGGGCGAUGGGCUGUUGGGAUAGGAUAUGGCGAUUUAGGGGCAUAGGGCAAGGAAAAGGGGAGGGUAGCGAGAGGGGUGUCAGAGGCCAUGCUUCACCAGCUGCCAGGCCAGCAAAUCCCCCACAUUCUCCCUCCCCCGUGGGGAGGGAGGGAAGGGAGUGAGAAGGGAAUCUCCGGGCAUUAAGCACCGUGGCUCCGACUAAGCCGCUGUCCUCGGCUCUGGUGCGGCAGGUGCCGCAGGGAUCUCAGCCAGGCCUCCCCCAACCCCAGCAGAAGCCCCUUCAGGCAUCAUGUUCGCCAGCUCUUCGCGGGG
This is a non-coding RNA of Podarcis lilfordi (Lilford's wall lizard), 1078 nucleotides long. NCBI's taxonomy places the organism in Eukaryota, Metazoa, Chordata, Lepidosauria, Squamata, Lacertidae. The record is from the annotation of a GenBank genome assembly.